Molecule: transfer RNA, 68 nt
Filed under: Rattus norvegicus (Norway rat)
Lineage: Eukaryota; Metazoa; Chordata; Mammalia; Rodentia; Muridae
Rfam family: tRNA
About the family: Transfer RNA (tRNA) molecules are approximately 80 nucleotides in length. Their secondary structure includes four short double-helical elements and three loops (D, anti-codon, and T loops).
Source: Rfam by way of RNAcentral
GGGGAUUUAGCUCAGUGGUAGAGCGCUUGCCUAGCAAGCACAAGGCCCUGGGUUCGGACCCCAGCUCA